Long non-coding RNA from Nyctereutes procyonoides (raccoon dog), 626 nucleotides. RefSeq lists it as uncharacterized. Lineage: Eukaryota; Metazoa; Chordata; Mammalia; Carnivora; Canidae. The transcript has 3 exons. The record is from RefSeq and is a predicted model, not a curated record.
GGAGACGUGCACACGCACAGAGCUCAUGCCCAGUAUGUGCAUUGCCUGCCCUGUCCCACUCCUCCUGGUGUCCCAGCGAGCCCUGACCCUGACCCCAACUCCAUCUGCUUCCAUGUGAGCACGAAGACAGCUCAGGGUAUGUGGGUCAGUGGCGUGCAAUACAUUCAUAUUGCGGGGCAAGCCACCACCUCCCAGCUCCCGAACUAAGCUUGCAAAACGGAAACUCUGGAAAAUUCUGACACCGUAGAACAUGGAUGAAUCUUGAAGACUGGAAGUCUUCCACAGGACAAAUACCGGAUGACUCCACUUACAUGAGGUUUUUUUUAUUUACUUAUUCACGAGAGACACACAGGGAGAGGCAGAGACACAGGCAGAGGGAGAAGCAGGCUCCUGCAAGGAGCCCGAUGUGAGACUCGAUCCGGGGAAUCCGGGAUCAGGCCCUGAUCCAAAGGCAGACGCUCAACCGCUGGGCCCCCUAGGCGUCCCGAAAAAUCGCAUCCUUGAAAAUCUGAGUAUGUUGGGGUGUCAUCAGAGAAGCCCGGGUCCCUGGACGCUCUCCUCCUCAUAGCACCCCCUCUGGGACUGCAGGACAUCAACUGAGCAGAGCCCUCUCCCCGCAUCCUGUG